RNAcentral lists this ribosomal RNA (497 nucleotides) under uncultured bacterium. Its description in RNAcentral is "partial 16S ribosomal RNA". It matches the Rfam family "Bacterial small subunit ribosomal RNA", at positions 28 to 507 of the family's 1533-position model. The record is from RNAcentral.
GAUGAACGCUGGCGGCGUGCCUAAUACAUGCAAGUCGAGCGAACGGACGAGAAGCUUGCUUCUCUGAUGUUAGCGGCGGACGGGUGAGUAACACGUGGAUAACCUACCUAUAAAACUGGGAUAACUUCGGGAAACCGGAGCUAAUACCGGAUAAUAUUUUGAACCGCAUGGUUCAAAAGUGAAAGACGGUCUUGCUGUCACUUAUAGAUGGAUCCGCGCUGCAUUAGCUAGUUGGUAAGGUAACGGCUUACCAAGGCAACGAUGCAUAGCCGACCUGAGAGGGUGAUCGGCCACACUGGAACUGAGACACGGUCCAGACUCCUACGGGAGGCAGCGGUAGGGAAUCUUCCGCAAUGGGCGAAAGCCUGACGGAGCAACGCCGCGUGAGUGAUGAAGGUCUUCGGAUCGUAAAACUCUGUUAUUAGGGAAGAACAUAUGUGUAAGUAACUGUGCACAUCUUGACGGUACCUAAUCAGAAAGCCACGGCUAACUACGUG